CGCGGCCUAUCAGCUUGUUGGUGAGGUAACGGCUCACCAAGGCAUCGACGGGUAGCUGGUCUGAGAGGAUGAUCAGCCACACUGGGACUGAGACACGGCCCAGACUCCUACGGGAGGCAGCAGUGGGGAAUAUUGCACAAUGGGCGCAAGCCUGAUGCAGCAACGCCGCGUGCGGGAAGAAGGCCCUAGGGUUGUAAACCGCUUUCAGCAGGGAAGAAAAUGGCGGUACCUGCAGAAGAAGGUGCGGCCAACUACGUGCCAGCAGCCGCGGUGACACGUAGGCACCAAGCGUUGUCCGGAUUUAUUGGGCGUAAAGAGCUCGUAGGCGGUUUUGUAAGUCGGGUGUGAAAACUCUGGGCUCAACCCAGAGAGGCCACCCGAUACUGCAAUGACUUGAGUACGGUAGGGGAGCGGGGAAUUCCUGGUGUAGCGGUGAAAUGCGCAGAUAUCAGGAGGAACACCAGUGGCGAAGGCGCCGCUCUGGGCCGUAACUGACGCUGAGGAGCGAAAGCAUGGGUAGCAAACAGGAUUAGAUACCCUGGUAGUCCAUGCCGUAAACGUUGGGCACUAGGUGUGGGUCUCAACCAACGAGAUCCGCGCCGUCGCUAACGCAUUAAGUGCCCCGCCUGGGGAGUACGG
RNAcentral lists this ribosomal RNA (639 nucleotides) under uncultured bacterium. Its description in RNAcentral is "bacterial SSU rRNA". It matches the Rfam family "Bacterial small subunit ribosomal RNA", at positions 232 to 885 of the family's 1533-position model. The record is from RNAcentral.